RNAcentral lists this unclassified non-coding RNA (433 nucleotides) under uncultured Russula. RNAcentral describes it as "sequence contains ITS2". The stretch from base 1 to 154 matches the Rfam family "5.8S ribosomal RNA". Lineage: Eukaryota; Fungi; Basidiomycota; Agaricomycetes; Russulales; Russulaceae. The record is from RNAcentral.
AACUUUCAGCAACGGAUCUCUUGGCUCUCGCAUCGAUGAAGAACGCAGCGAAAUGCGAUACGUAAUGUGCAUUGCAGAAUUCAGUGAAUCAUCGAAUCUUUGAACGCACCUUGCGCCCCUUGGAAUUCCGAGGGGCACACCCGUUUGAGUGUCGUGAACAUCCUUCAACCUUUCUUGGUUUCUUAACCGGGGAAGGCUUGGACUUUGGGGGUCUUUCAUUGCUGGCCUCUUUGAAGCCAGCUCCUCCUAAAUGGAUUAGUGUGGUCUGCUUUGCCGAUCCUUGACGUGAUAAGAUGUUUCUACGUCUUGGGUUUCGCACUGUCGCUUUAGACCCCGCUUCGAACCGUCUUGCAUUCAAGACAGAGUUUUAAACCUUGACCUCAAAUCGGGUGAGACUACCCGCUGAACUUAAGCAUAUCAAUAAGCGGAGGCU